ACCUGCAAGAGCAAUGUGUGGACUUCAGAGCCCUUCUGAUGAUGCACGAAAGCAGUGAACACAGGGGGAAAUAGUGGCUGUACAGCAGAUGGCAACGUCAGGUCAAGCUAAGGUACAUUUAUAGAAUUGGGGCUUUUUUCCAAAGGGAACUCACCAGAACUCAAUUCUGGCAUCUCUCAGGUGGGUGUCAUUGCCAUUUUAAGAGAAAGAAGGAGGCAUUCAUGGUGAGUUCCAGCACCUCUUUUUCUAGAAAAAUAACACUGUAUAGGACAUAUAUAAAGUAUACUUUGCCUCUCCACUGCAUGAUGCCAGGAGCUGUUAGCUGUUGUUCUCCAGCUUUUAAACAUGUCUGUAUCUGUCCAACAGUGCAGACCAAGCAAGGCCUCUGAUAUGCUGCUACCUGGAGUUGGUUGAUGUACAUCAAGCAGAUGGGCAGGUGGCACAGUGGCAAAGGGGCAAGUCAUGUGCCAACUUGCUGAAAUUUCAAAGCACGCAAGGGAAGACAGCUUGGGUUCAGGCAGGGCUACUAUUUUAGAUCAAGAGUGGGGAAAGAGGUUUGAUAGGGGAAAAGCAAAGUCAAAGACCCACUCUUAGGUACUGUAUGCAAAGAUGAAAGGAUAAAGCACUGCAAUUUUUAAGAGCACUCACUAAGUUUAUUUUUUCUAUAUAUAAAACCUCCCAAAAGCUAUAGCAGUAUCAGCACAAGAAGAGCGAUCCCCUCUUUGGCAGUUAAAGCAAUGCAAGACUUUGCAUGCAUGCCUUUGACAUAGGCCUCUUUAAGGGGCAGAUCUACUAGGAAACUAAUGAAGCUUAAGCCUCAGGGCCCCUAAACCUAGAGGGGCCCCAGAAGCAACUUUAAUUGACAUUGCUUAAAAGUUUUGGGUAUAGUAGACCCAAUUUGAGUUUGUUGUUCUUGUAUCUAUUUCAACAUUCCCAGAGUUUGAGAGUCAGUAGCACAUUGAAGAAGAUAACAGGGGUUACCUAGACCUUGAUGUUGAUUGUGACAAUUCAAGCUUCAGGGCCCACAAAAUGUAGGUCUGCCACUGAUUUGUACAUAACUAGAGCCACUCUGUGUAGUAACAGACAGCUGGCCAUAGAUAUAGUUGUUACUAAGGAGUAAUCACAUGUUCUCUGAAAUGUAUUAUUUAUUUGUUCAUUUGUUUAUUGAAUUUAUAUACCACUCUAUACCUGGAGGUCUCAGGGCAGUUCACAGAUUUGUUGAUGUUGUUGUUGUUAAUUUAUACCCCACCUUUUACCUAACAGGUACUCAUGGCGGUUUACAGAUAAAAUGAGAGCCACUAAAAUGUGCAUAAACAUAUUUUUAAAACCAUACAAAUGAUUACUACAAAAAGAUGUGUGGCACCAGCCCUUUCAUUAAAAGCAAUUAGUUCCCAAAGACCUGUUGGGACAAAAAGGUUUUUACCUGCUAGUGGAAGAACAAGGAGGGAGCAGCUUACAGAUACCCUGAGCUUCAGCUAUGUAGGGUGUUAUAGGUCACAACCAACACUUUCAAUUGUGUCCAGAAAAAGACCAGUAGCCAGAGGAGAUGUUGUAACAAGUCUGCUCCCUAUAAAUGUAGAAGGGGACUGCCCCCUGCCCUCCAUAAAUGAUGAUCCUUGCCUAGAUUGGGGAAGUUUGGGGAGAUUGAGUGAGAGAGAUCCUUAAGGAGGAGGAAAUAACAAGAAGGAAUUCCCUCUCUUUUCACCACCUUCCUUAAGGAGCAGGACUUUUAGUUGCUCCUUAAAGGCAGUAACAAAUUUAUAUUGUUCCUCUAUCACCAUGGACACCAAAUCCAAGGGGCUGAAGUGACUUCAGCCCCCCAUGUAGUUGAUGGGGCUGAGCCCCACCAAAGUUGAUGGGCAGUUGUUGAUGCCGCUGCUGCAAGGCAUGCCAAGUCACCACUGGCAUGAGACCUCCAGACUGCCAACACAAGGACUGCCACACCACUGGCAUAAGGCCUCCAGGCUACCACCACAAGGCAUGCUAGGCUGCCGCCGUUAGGAUGCCUGCUGCAAGCAGGCCUGCUAGGCCACCGACGCCAAUGUACUUCUAGAAGCUGGCACCAGAAGUGCGCUUCUAGAAGUACAUUGGUGGCUUCUGGAAAUGCGGCCACAAUGGCUCGUGGUGGCUCAUGGCAGCUCCACCUCCUCCUCCUCCUGCUGCCAUGGAGGGGAAGCAGCCCUCUGCCCAUUGCAGCAACAGCAGGAGGAAGAGCUGUCAGCAUUGCUGGCCAUGGAAACUGGGCUGCCACAUGACGCCUGCAUGUGAUGUCAUGACUUCACAUGCAAAGUCAUGACAUCGUGAUGACAUCAGCCCCGCCAUCUCCUACCUGAGUUGGUGUACAUCUGCAAACUCUGUCCUUUGGUUUUCCUAGGUAAGAAUCAGAAGGUUUUCUUAAAAGAGGCAAGAGGAACAUGCCCCGCCAUUCUUUGCAGCUUGAUAGACCAAAUGGGUGAAACUCAGCAGCCACCCAUAUGAUACCUGCAGUGAUACCCAAAUCGUGACACAAUUGGCUCUGUGGUUUCUAGGCAUCCUAGAAGUGUUGGCUCCUAAAGACCCCCCCCCCGUAUAGUCUAUUUCAUGGGUUAUAUUUUGUAAGACAAAGCAUUCACGACAGCUCCUUCAAUAGCUCCUUCAAUAGUGGUGCCCUGAGCUACCUGCUGUCAACUAGCAAGUCAUUUUUAAAGUAGCUCACUGAAAACUAUUCUAUGUGCUUCAGCAAUCCAAAAGAUAAUUACAAGAACUUUGGCAUGCUUUAUGCUCUGCUCUCCAUAGGGUGCCUGUUCUCCACUGGAUUCUCCUAGCCAUUCGGAGAUGGGUCAAUACCACAAUCCCUAGGAAGGAUGUAACCUGCGGUGUUGUGUUUUGAUGUCUUUAGACAUGGUUUUCUGGUUCCCCCAGUAGGCUUAUGAUGCUGCCUGUGGAGCAUCACUCUUCCCUUGGAGAUCUAGUCAGUGUUGAGGACUUACUCCUCUUCUCUGAUUGCUCAGUGCCGGCAGCUUGCUGGGUUUAUGAGUGAAUCAGGACUUCAAGCACACGGAUGGCAGCUUGGAGAUAGCUUUGUGACUUCUCCUGAAGUUGUGCUGAAAAUACACAGCAAGGCCCCCCCUCUGUGGCUGAUACAAGCCACGGAAAGCCACUACCAGAUUUAUUUGGAAAGAAGCAAGAAACAAUCUUCUAACCUAAGUGCAUCCUCUAAGCAUAGAAACGUAUGUAUUUAAAGCAACACUAUCCAUGCAAAAUAGGCAGACAACAGCAGGCCUGGAGGAGCCCAGCAGUUUGAGGGCAAAAUCUUUUGGGGAGAAAAAACAAAACUGGAGGUCCCUUUCCCGAAACAGCUCACUGAACUGAACAUAAGAGAGUCCUGGAUCAGACCAAAGGUCCAUCUAGUGCAGCAUCCUGUAUUCACAGUAGCCAGACAGAUGCCACUGGGAAGCUGAAAAACAAGGACAUGCAUUACUAUGUGUAGUAUUCUUUUAUUCUUUAUUAAAUUUCUAUACUGCCCUUCAUCGGAAGAUCACAGGGCAGUUUACAAUAU
Molecule: long non-coding RNA, 3538 nt
Filed under: Podarcis lilfordi (Lilford's wall lizard)
Lineage: Eukaryota; Metazoa; Chordata; Lepidosauria; Squamata; Lacertidae
Source: RNAcentral